This is a long non-coding RNA of Selaginella moellendorffii, 279 nucleotides long. RefSeq lists it as uncharacterized. The transcript has 2 exons. NCBI's taxonomy places the organism in Eukaryota, Viridiplantae, Streptophyta, Lycopodiopsida, Selaginellales, Selaginellaceae. The record is from RefSeq and is a predicted model, not a curated record.
UCUUCGUUCCAGAUUUCUUUGCAGGAUCAUCCGCGUUCUCGUGCACCACCACAGUCGGGAUCGCAUCCUUUUGCUGGUGCUGGCCUGGACCGGAUCGAUGAUCCACUGACGUGGAAGAAGGAUUCUAGAAAACCAAAGAGAAACAAUGAAUCGAUCGGGAUUGAAGAACACGGAGUGAUCAUACCUGUGUUGAAGCCAUGACUCGGUGAUAAAAUGGAAGAAAUCGUUCAUGUGUUAUCAACAAAGAGUGAGCCAAUCAAAUACUGACACUUCGCUCCA